Non-coding RNA from Salmo salar (Atlantic salmon), 56 nucleotides. NCBI's taxonomy places the organism in Eukaryota, Metazoa, Chordata, Actinopteri, Salmoniformes, Salmonidae. The record is from Rfam.
UGCAUUCACUACUGUAAGUCGCUCUGGAUAAGAGUGUGUCUGCUAAAUUGCUAAAA